RNAcentral lists this ribosomal RNA (498 nucleotides) under uncultured bacterium. Its description in RNAcentral is "partial 16S ribosomal RNA". It matches the Rfam family "Bacterial small subunit ribosomal RNA", at positions 29 to 523 of the family's 1533-position model. The record is from RNAcentral.
AUUGGACGCUGGCGGCAUGCCUAACACAUGCAAGUCGAACGGCAGCGCGGGGAAACCUGGCGGCGAGUGGCGGACGGGUGAGUAAUAUGUAGGAAUCUGCCUUGAAGAGGGGGAUAACUUGGGGAAACUCAAGCUAAUACCACAUAAUCCCGAGAGGGGAAAGCUGGGGACCGUAAGGCCUGGCGCUUUAAGAUGAGCCUACAUCGGAUUAGCUUGUUGGUGAGGUAAAGGCCCACCAAGGCGACGAUCCGUAGCUGGUCUGAGAGGAUGAUCAGCCACACUGGGACGGAGACACGGCCCAGACUCCUACGGAAGGCAGCAGUGGGGAAUUUUGGACAAUGGGCGCAAGCCUGAUCCAGCCAUGCCGCGUGCGGGAAGAAGGCCUUCGGGUUGUAAACCGCUUUUGUCAGGGAAGAAAUCUUCUGGGUUAAUACCUCGGGAGGAUGACGGUACCUGAAGAAUAAGCACCGGCUAACUACGUGCCAGCCGCCGCCGUAA